This 235-nucleotide ribosomal RNA is filed under the name uncultured archaeon. RNAcentral describes it as "partial 16S ribosomal RNA". It matches the Rfam family "Archaeal small subunit ribosomal RNA", at positions 776 to 1134 of the family's 1478-position model. The record is from RNAcentral.
UGAUCCGCUCUGAUGCGCGAUUGGCGUGGCCUAAGGGAACCGUUGAGCUCGCCGCCUGGGGAGUCGGUCGCUGACUGAAACUUAAGGACUUGGCGGCGGACCACCACAACGGGUGAAGCCUGCGUUUCACUUGGAGUCAACACCCUGAAACUUACCUGGACCGACAGCAAGUUGAGGGUCAAGCUGAAAACUUUACCUGACGACCUGAGAAGAGAAUAAAUAAAUGAAAAGAAAA